CAAUCAACAACAACAAACAAUAAGACCAUGGAAGCCAAACACAUAGAGGCUAAAGGGAAAGUAGUAGAAGAACAGGGAAAGCUUAGAUGGCUUCUCACUCUCAUAUAGCCGAAGGGGCAGCCACAAAGAUUGACUAGCAUUACCCUCAAGAACCCCUCUUCUUCCAUAAAAAAAAAAAAAAAAAGAUGAAACCCACAAUCCAGAAGCCAAUCACCAGAGGAAUGAAGGGGAAAGGAGAUCUGCUAGCCUAGUUAACCAUGAGGAGAAUCAAUUCAAUGAAACACCGAUUAACAAAUCCCAAUAUCCAUCCUUCCCAAGCAAAACCACAAAAACACCAUGCAAAGCAACCUUUAGACAACACCAAAGAAAGCUUUCUCUUUAAAAUUCAAGUUGCCAGAAACCUUACGAAAAUCCAUCCAGC
RNAcentral lists this unclassified non-coding RNA (421 nucleotides) under Hevea brasiliensis (rubber tree). The record is from RNAcentral. Lineage: Eukaryota; Viridiplantae; Streptophyta; Magnoliopsida; Malpighiales; Euphorbiaceae.